This 443-nucleotide ribosomal RNA is filed under the name uncultured bacterium. RNAcentral's name for it is "bacterial SSU rRNA". It matches the Rfam family "Bacterial small subunit ribosomal RNA", at positions 355 to 787 of the family's 1533-position model. The record is from RNAcentral.
UGGGGAAUCUUCCGCAAUGGGCGAAAGCCUGGCGGAGCAAUGCCGCGUGAGUGAAGAAGGCCUUCGGGUUGUAAAACUCUGUCCUUAUCGAAGAGAGGUGGGUAUGUGAAUAAUGUACCUAUAGGACGGUAGAUAAGGAGGAAGCCCCGGCUAACUACGUGCCAGCAGCCGCGGUAAUACGUAGGGGGCGAGCGUUGUCCGGAAGUCACUGGGACGUAAAGGGCGCGUAGGCGGUUUAAUAAGUCAGUGGUGAAAACUGAGGGCUCAACCCUCAGCCUGCCACUGAUACUGUUAGACUUGAGUAUGGAAGAGGAGAAUGGAAUUCCUAGUGUAGCGGUGAAAUGCGUAGAUAUUAGGAGGAACACCAGUGGCGAAGGCGAUUCUCUGGGCCAAGACUGACGCUGAGGCGCGAAAGCGUGGGGAGCAAACAGGAUUAGAUACCC